UAAUAGUUUAGAUCUUUAAAUUAAAAGAAUUUGGCGGUAAUUUAGUCUUUCAGAGGAACCUGCCCUGUAAUUGAUAGUGCACGAUAAAUUUUACUUUAUCUUUGUUUGUAUACCUCUGUCAUUGAAUGUUUUAUUAGGAUGGAUUUUUCUUUAAUUUUUAUGAAUUUAAUGUCAGGUCAAGGUGCAGCUGUGAUAAAGAAGAGGUGGGUUACAUUGAAUUUAUUUAUGGAGAUAAAUAUGUAAAUUUUAUUGAAAUAGGAUUUGAAAGUAAGUUUUAUUAGAAUAUAGAAUUGAUUUUAGCUCUAAAUUAUGCACACAUCGCCCGUCACUCUCAUUUAAUUAAAGGUGAGAUAAGUCGUAACAAAGUAGGUUUAUCGGAAGAUGAGCCUG
Molecule: non-coding RNA, 390 nt
Filed under: Rhodnius prolixus
Lineage: Eukaryota; Metazoa; Arthropoda; Insecta; Hemiptera; Reduviidae
Description: Microsporidia small subunit ribosomal RNA
Rfam family: Microsporidia small subunit ribosomal RNA
Source: Rfam by way of RNAcentral